Molecule: ribosomal RNA, 520 nt
Filed under: Staphylococcus aureus
Lineage: Bacteria; Bacillati; Bacillota; Bacilli; Caryophanales; Staphylococcaceae
Description: bacterial SSU rRNA
Rfam family: Bacterial small subunit ribosomal RNA
Source: RNAcentral
CGGGGGACAAAGUGACAGGUGGUGCAUGGUUGUCGUCAGCUCGUGUCGUGAGAUGUUGGGUUAAGUCCCGCAACGAGCGCAACCCUUAAGCUUAGUUGCCAUCAUUAAGUUGGGCACUCUAAGAUGACUGCCGGUGACAAACCGGAGGAAGGUGGGGAUGACGUCAAAUCAUCAUGCCCCUUAUGAUUUGGGCUACACACGUGCUACAAUGGACAAUACAAAGGGCAGCGAAACCGCGAGGUCAAGCAAAUCCCAUAAAGUUGUUCUCAGUUCGGAUUGUAGUCUGCAACUCGACUACAUGAAGCUGGAAUCGCUAGUAAUCGUAGAUCAGCAUGCUACGGUGAAUACGUUCCCGGGUCUUGUACACACCGCCCGUCACACCACGAGAGUUUGUAACACCCGAAGCCGGUGGAGUAACCUUUUAGGAGCUAGCCGUCGAAGGUGGGACAAAUGAUUGGGGUGAAGUCGUAACAAGGUAGCCGUAUCGGAAGGUGCGGCUGGAUCACCUCCUUUCUAAGGA